Vidua chalybeata is the source of this 1155-nucleotide long non-coding RNA. RefSeq lists it as uncharacterized. The transcript has 2 exons. The record is from RefSeq and is a predicted model, not a curated record. NCBI's taxonomy places the organism in Eukaryota, Metazoa, Chordata, Aves, Passeriformes, Viduidae.
AAAAAAAAAAGAAUGAAAGGGAAGGAAGGAAAAUGAUCCAAAGAUGUUGUCGUGGGACGACGCCAAGUGAAGAGAAGGAUGCUGGAGGAUGGAGGCAGCAUUCCCGUUCCCUUCCACACUCCUCGGUGGAGCUGGAGAGCCCUGCACAGGGAAUAAUGGACAGGCUGCUCUUUGCCUUCAGGAACUCCGGGCUGGGACUCCACAGGGAAGGGAAGGGGCUCUGCUCCUCCCACCGGUACUUCAAGCAAAAAAAAAACCCAUCCACACCCACCCCAGCCAACCUCUCCUCCUCCCGGCAAACUGGGCUCAGUUCCUCAUUCAGGUGUUCUAUGCAUCUCUAGCAACUUUGAAAACAAUACCAAAGACAGACAAAAAGGAUAAAAAAGACAAAAAAAAAAAAAAGAGACAAAAAAAAAAAAAAAAAAGGCAAGUUCCCGUCCAUGUUUACUUGGUGCAGAUGGUACAGAGCCACCCUGGCCUGGCACAGGGGCCUGGCAGUGCCCAGGAGAGGGGACUGUGCCCGAGCUCCAGCCCUGCAGAGGUGGAUUUUCCCCUGGGAUGUUUGGUUUGCUCGGGGGGGGAAGGAGGGGGCCCGGCCUCAGCUGUGCAGCUGGGCUGGGGGGGGGUUUGAAGCCAGAGGUGGAUGUUGUGCACACCCUGGGCACCUGGGCCAGCCCUGGACCAGCCCUGGCAGCAGAGGUGGGUGUUGUGCACACCCCUGGGCACCACAACCAGCCCUGGCAGCAGAGGUGGAUGUUGUGCACACCCCUGGGCACCAGAGCCAGCCCUGGCAGCAGGGGAGGGCGCCCAGGCUGAAACAAUGGGCAGAGUUUUUACUACUGUGAAUGAGCUGGGAACUCCUGGGGGUGACCUCCUGUGACUUGUACAGUUGUGAGCAACAAUCACAUGUGGUACUUUUCUCUCUCUCUCCUCCCCCCCCUCCAUAUCACCUUUUUAUUUUUGGGUUUGUUUUUUGUUUAAACGUUGCACGUGCUGCCGUUUUUCUUACAGAAUAGCUUUGGUGGUACUUUAGCUUCUUUAUAUUGUAAAAAAAAAAAAAAGGGAAAAAAAUUCAUUAUCCAUCACAUCACGAUAAAAAUGCUUUCCAGCAAUCAAUUUAAAUAAAAAAGAAAAACACUUAAUUUACAAAUGGUA